Long non-coding RNA from Nomascus leucogenys (northern white-cheeked gibbon), 100 nucleotides. RefSeq lists it as uncharacterized. The record is from RefSeq and is a predicted model, not a curated record. The transcript has 3 exons. NCBI's taxonomy places the organism in Eukaryota, Metazoa, Chordata, Mammalia, Primates, Hylobatidae.
UUUUGUCUCAGGAGAGGCUCUUCCAGGAUUCUUUGGAGAUACGGUGGAUUCCAUAGCUGGAGGAGGGAAGGGACAGGAUGAGCCUUCCCAGUGCUGAUGU